RNAcentral lists this small RNA (28 nucleotides) under Bombyx mori (domestic silkworm). Its description in RNAcentral is "ovarian small RNA-31986". Lineage: Eukaryota; Metazoa; Arthropoda; Insecta; Lepidoptera; Bombycidae. The record is from RNAcentral.
UGACUGGAGGGAAAGCCACAGUUGUUGC